Molecule: ribosomal RNA, 253 nt
Filed under: uncultured bacterium
Lineage: Bacteria
Description: partial 16S ribosomal RNA
Rfam family: Bacterial small subunit ribosomal RNA
Source: RNAcentral
GACAGAGGGUGCAAACGUUGCUCGGAAUCACUGGGCGUAAAGCGUGCGCAGGCGGUCUUGCAAGUCAGAAGUGAAAUCCCGGGGCUUAACCCCGGAAUUGCUUUUGAAACUGCAAGACUAGAAUAUGGGAGAGGUUAGCAGAAUUCCGAGUGUAGAGGUGAAAUUCGCAGAUAUUCGGAGGAAUACCAGUGGCGAAGGCGGCUAACUGGACCAUUAUUGACGCUCAGGCACGAAAGCGUGGGGAGCAAACAGG